CGUUGCUGUUGUACUUUUCGGAUUUAAAGUGUAGUUAUAUGUUUUUAGAGCUUAACCGAAGUUCUCCUCGUAUGUAAUUUGGCCACAAAAAAUAUACUGCCCGCAGUUCUCGUUUUGUCCAUCAGAGGGCAGGCGUUGACUGACUGUGAAACAUAGCGUGUGUGGGAAUGUCUUUUAAGUUGUAACAUUAUUCAAUUAACGAAGUCAAAAUCUUAACUUGCUGUUUGGUUUAUUUAAUUGCAUAAAUAGUAUUUCAUGGAACACCAAUCUCGAAACGUAUGCUAUGACAACGACCUACCUAUGGGGACGAUAUAUCCGGGGCACCGGUAGUGCCGGAUAUCAGGGGCUAGAAUUCCUCAUCCGUCGGCGUGUAAUUGUUUACAGUCCGACGAGCAACUUUAAACGCAAGUAUUGAGUUGCAGCAUAUAUUAUUAUUUGCAGGCAAACGUUGCUAUACUCGUUUUAUCUAUGCAUAUUUUUUUUUUAAUAGUUUUCUGUUCAAAGAUCUCAACCGAAGUUCAACUCCUAUGAUUUCGCCUUCCUUGCCACAGAAAUCCAAUAGUAUCCAACUGCAGCCCCGGAGAACAACACCCUGCCAUGACAGAACACCCAGGCGGGACAGAAGUACUGGCUGGACGGAAGACAAAUAAACAUGUAAAGCUGUUCCGCUGAAUUCAACAACCGUAGAAACAGAGGAAAGGACACAAUAUUAUCGAGACCAAUCUCAUGGGCCCUGACGAACCGGUGAAACGGAUAAGUCUGAUGAAUUUAACCACGGGUCGAACCAAUGAUGGGGCAAGAGUGGUGUUUUUUUUGAUUAAAAACAUAAGGGGUAACACUGUUGUUUAUCGAUCGUCAUGAAAAAUCAUAAGGGUAAUGUUAUUUUAUUUUUUUUAAAUAAAACAUAAGGGGUAACACUGUCGUGCUUUAUCAAAUAAAACAUAAGGGGCAACACUGUCGCUUUUGAUCAAUUAUGAAAUAAAGGGGUAAGACUGUCGUUAGUUCUCAAAGGAAACACAAGGGGUAACACUCGUUUUUUAUUGUUCGUCGUGAAAAAAAACAUAAGGUGUAACACUGUAUUCUUCGUAAGAAAACUUAAGGGGUAACACUGGUGUUUUUCUAAUAAUUCAAACUUAAGGGACAAUACUGGUGUUUUCUUAUCUUAAAAACAUAAGGGGUAACACUGUUGUUUUUUAUCGGACGUCAUGAAAAAAUCAUAAGGGUAAUGUUAUUUUAUUUUAUCAAAAUAAAACAUAAGGGGUAACACUCGUGUUUUAUCAAUUAAAACAUAAGUGGUAACACUGUCGAUUUUUAUCAAUUAUAAAAUAAAUAAUUGAUAAAAUGUCAUCAGUGUCGUUAGUUCUCAAAGAAAUCACAAGGGGUGAUGCUGUCGUUUUUUAUUGGUCGUCAUGAAAGAAAAACUGGAGGCAGAAGUCACUGUUCCAUCUGUUGAAGUCAGAGUUGUUGAUGCAGAAGUCAAUGGUUCAUCUGUUGAAGUCAGAACUAUGGAUGCAGAAGUCAAUGGAUCUGCUGUUGAAGUUUGAACCGUUUGUUGCCAAUUGUUCAGACGUUACUCUUUCGUCUGAUGAAGUUGGAAGCGUCGAUCUCUCAGUUGAAGUCCCUGUACAGAAAAGUUAUUAUUUUACACUUCUAAGUAUUUUUAUUCGCCGUACAGGAUUUAAUAUCAAUGUGACAGGUAAUAUGUAUGACAAUAAAGAUGAUAAGAGCAAUCUUAAUCUACAUAUACUUCUGUACAUUCUGUAUUUGUAUCUGUCUGGGGGACUGGAUGGCUGUGAAUGAGUGCACUCAUUCACAGCCAUCGUUUUUUAUUGGUCGUCAUGAAAAAAACAUAAGGGGUAACACUGUCGUUUUUUAUUGGUCGUCAUGAAAAAAAACAUAAGGGGUAA
Molecule: long non-coding RNA, 1907 nt
Organism: Gadus morhua (Atlantic cod)
Lineage: Eukaryota; Metazoa; Chordata; Actinopteri; Gadiformes; Gadidae
Exons: 2
Source: RefSeq, a predicted model, not a curated record